RNAcentral lists this ribosomal RNA (468 nucleotides) under uncultured bacterium. RNAcentral describes it as "partial 16S ribosomal RNA". It matches the Rfam family "Bacterial small subunit ribosomal RNA", at positions 28 to 507 of the family's 1533-position model. The record is from RNAcentral.
GACGAACGCUGGCGGCGUGCUUAACACAUGCAAGUCGAACGGAAAGGCCCUGCUUUUGUGGGGUGCUCGAGUGGCGAACGGGUGAGUAACACGUGAGUAACCUGCCCUUUACUUUGGGAUAACUUCAGGAAACUGGGGCUAAUACCGGAUAUGAGCUCCUGCUGCAUGGUGGUGGUUGGAAAGUUUCGGCGGUUGGGGAUGGACUCGAGGCUUAUCAGCUUGUUGGUGGGGUAGUGGCUUACCAAGGCUUUGACGGGUAGCCGGCCUGAGAGGGUGACCGGCCACAUUGGGACUGAGAUACGGGCCAGACUGAUACGGGAGGCAGCAGUGGGGAAUAUUGCACAAUGGGCGGAAGCAUGAUGCAGCAACGCCGCGUGCGGGAUGACGGCCUUCGGGUUGUAAACCGCUUUCGCCUGUGACGAAGCGUGAGUGACGGUAAUGGGUAAAGAAGCACCGGCUAACUACGUG